Molecule: ribosomal RNA, 1243 nt
Filed under: 'Rumex bucephalophorus' dwarf phytoplasma
Lineage: Bacteria; Bacillati; Mycoplasmatota; Mollicutes; Acholeplasmatales; Acholeplasmataceae
Description: bacterial SSU rRNA
Rfam family: Bacterial small subunit ribosomal RNA
Source: RNAcentral
ACGACUGCUAAGACUGGAUAGGAGACAAGAAGGCAUCUUCUUAUUUUUAAAAGACCUAGCAAUAGGUAUGCUUAGGGAGGAGCUUGCGUCACAUUAGUUAGUUGGUGGGGUAAAGGCCUACCAAGACUAUGAUGUGUAGCCGGGCUGAGAGGUUGAACGGCCACAUUGGGACUGAGACACGGCCCAAACUCCUACGGGAGGCAGCAGUAGGGAAUUUUCGGCAAUGGAGGAAACUCUGACCGAGCAACGCCGCGUGAACGAUGAAGUAUUUCGGUACGUAAAGUUCUUUUAUUAGGGAAGAAUAAAUGAUGGAAAAAUCAUUCUGACGGUACCUAAUGAAUAAGCCCCGGCUAACUAUGUGCCAGCAGCCGCGGUAAUACAUAGGGGGCAAGCGUUAUCCGGAAUUAUUGGGCGUAAAGGGUGCGUAGGCGGUUAAAUAAGUUUAUGGUCUAAGUGCAAUGCUCAACAUUGUGAUGCUAUAAAAACUGUUUAGCUAGAGUAAGAUAGAGGCAAGUGGAAUUCCAUGUGUAGUGGUAAAAUGCGUAAAUAUAUGGAGGAACACCAGUAGCGAAGGCGGCUUGCUGGGUCUUUACUGACGCUGAGGCACGAAAGCGUGGGGAGCAAACAGGAUUAGAUACCCUGGUAGUCCACGCCGUAAACGAUGAGUACUAAACGUUGGGUAAAACCAGUGUUGAAGUUAACACAUUAAGUACUCCGCCUGAGUAGUACGUACGCAAGUAUGAAGCUUAAAGGAAUUGACGGGACUCCGCACAAGCGGUGGAUCAUGUUGUUUAAUUCGAAGGUACCCGAAAAACCUCACCAGGUCUUGACAUGCUUCUGCAAAGCUGUAGAAACACAGUGGAGGUUAUCAGUUGCACAGGUGGUGCAUGGUUGUCGUCAGCUCGUGUCGUGAGAUGUUGGGUUAAGUCCCGCAACGAGCGCAACCCUUAUUGUUAGUUACCAGCACGUAAUGGUGGGGACUUUAGCAAGACUGCCAGUGAUAAAUUGGAGGAAGGUGGGGACGACGUCAAAUCAUCAUGCCCCUUAUGACCUGGGCUACAAACGUGAUACAAUGGCUGUUACAAAGGGUAGCUGAAGCGCAAGUUUUUGGCGAAUCUCAAAAAAACAGUCUCAGUUCGGAUUGAAGUCUGCAACUCGACUUCAUGAAGUUGGAAUCGCUAGUAAUCGCGAAUCAGCAUGUCGCGGUGAAUACGUUCUCGGGGUUUGUACACACCGCCCGUCA